UGGAUGUGUUUGUCGAUGAAUUGUGCCGGGAUCACUGCCCAGGGCCUGCUGUCCAUCCAAAAUCUUUAUAUCCACUUCACCGUCCUCAGAGUCCCUUUCCAGGCCCCGGUCAGCGUCCAGGGGUUCUGCAAUAAUUGAGAGCCACUGCCAGUAUUGAACGAUGACAACAGCACAAAACCUUGAGAUACAAUG
Long non-coding RNA from Syngnathus acus (greater pipefish), 192 nucleotides. RefSeq lists it as uncharacterized. The record is from RefSeq and is a predicted model, not a curated record. The transcript is spliced from 3 exons. NCBI's taxonomy places the organism in Eukaryota, Metazoa, Chordata, Actinopteri, Syngnathiformes, Syngnathidae.